Molecule: ribosomal RNA, 208 nt
Filed under: uncultured Pseudomonadota bacterium
Lineage: Bacteria; Pseudomonadati; Pseudomonadota
Description: uncultured proteobacterium partial 16S ribosomal RNA
Rfam family: Bacterial small subunit ribosomal RNA
Source: RNAcentral
CACGUAGGCGGAUUGGCAAGUCAGAUGUGAAAGCCCGGAGCUUAACUCCGGAACUGCAUUUGAUACUGCUAGUCUUGAGUGUGGUAGAGGGGGGUGGAAUUCCCGGUGUAGAGGUGAAAUUCGUAGAUAUCGGGAGGAACACCAGAGGCGAAGGCGACCCCCUGGGCCAUAACUGACGCUGAGGUGCGAAAGCGUGGGGAGCAAACAG